RNAcentral lists this unclassified non-coding RNA (1114 nucleotides) under Hevea brasiliensis (rubber tree). The record is from RNAcentral. Lineage: Eukaryota; Viridiplantae; Streptophyta; Magnoliopsida; Malpighiales; Euphorbiaceae.
UAUUAAAAUGAAUUAAUACAUAAUUUGAUCAAUAAUCACUUCAUAUUUAACAUAUACAUAUGAACUAUAGGAUUCAUAUACUAAUAAUUGCAGAAGGGGAAAAAAUUUUUAUGAACAGGAAACACAUAUGCACUAAGUAAUUAAGGAUAGCAGAUGGCAGGUACAACGCAUAAAAUUAGAUAAAAGAAACAAAGAAACGAUCGAUGUUUGUGUCAGGUAUGUGGAGGUGCUGCUAUAUUAUCAUCGGCUCAUGCCACCACCCACAGUGGGAGCUACUGUGAUCCCCCGGCUUUGUCUAUCCAUGUUUGCCUGCCAACCUUCACAUUCAGCACUACUGAUUAGUUUAGUAUAUAUGGAUAUAAUUCAAGUGGGAGAGAGAGAGAGCAAUUUCAAGAAUAGACGUGGUAAAAGCAACCAAAUUGACCUAGUGGGACUUUAGCUAUAGGAGCAUAAAUUGAAGCCAGUGACAUAAACACUAUAUACUUUUUAUCACUGGACAUGCUUUUAGAAUCUUGAUUUCCCUGCAACAUAUUCUUUAUUUAUGUGCAAUGACUAAGAUUUUCUUUUGCUUAGAUCUAGUCUACCGAUUGAUCCAAAACACAGGACAUAAGAUUUAUGAAUCGAGUUUAAAUAAAAAUUUCUCUAAAAAAAAUAUAUAAUUUCACCAGCAGUAAACAAAGAAUGGCAUUUAUUAUCAACUUAAUAAACAUUUGUUUACGUGGUAUUCUUGUACUUCGUAAAUUUCUUUCUUUUGAUGAAUUUAUAUGGAAAGAAAGAUGCUAAUGGAAGAUCAAAUUACAUACCAAUCCCCAUGUCAAAACCACGAUUCUUGAGCUCUCUGUAUUCUUGACAAAGUGCGCAAGGCUCACAGAAGAAGUGAACCAAGCAAUCCACACAAGGUACCUCCUCCAAGUCGUAUUGGCCUCUCAAUCUUGACCUAUAAAAGCACGAGUACAAGCAUGGGAAACCUGUGAAACCCAUUAGCAAACCAUAAACUGCACCACUUGCUGCACAAGCUGCACCAAACAAAAUUUAAAACCUGGAUUCAGUCACCAAUUCAAAACAUACAAGAUCACUUUAACCUACCUUUAUAUUUUAUACACUAAAAGCUUAC